Non-coding RNA from Saimiri boliviensis boliviensis (Bolivian squirrel monkey), 1295 nucleotides. The record is from RefSeq and is a predicted model, not a curated record. NCBI's taxonomy places the organism in Eukaryota, Metazoa, Chordata, Mammalia, Primates, Cebidae.
GUCAGGGAGUGGCCGUGAGGGAUCCCAAGGCCAGGUCUGGAAAGGGGGGGCGAGGGGGUGAGCUGGGUGGUGGGGGUGCAGCCCCCAAACAAAGACAUGGGAGUCGAAACGGAGGAAAGCCCACUAAGAUGCUCAUAUGUAAAACCGCUGAGGAAUAAAGGGACAAAUGUACACAUUUGUCUAAAUGAAGAAAAUGAAAAUCCUGCCCGCAAAACACACAUACAUUAACUUCUAAAGACCUACGGGGAAGACAAGACUUUUCCGCCUGGGACACUGAGCUAAUGUCCUUAAUAAAUGAAGAGCUCUUGGAAACCAACGAGAUAAAGACCAAACCAAGCCAGAAAAAUGGGCAAAGGGGAGAAAAACUGGCAAUUCGCAAAAAAAAAAAUGCAAACGGCUGGCCGACCUGCGAAAGAAACAUCGCGACCUGACUACUUGCAUAAAGAAAUGCAAACCUGAAACACCGGGCACGUGCGGUUUAUGGGAGCGGGCAGUCACACACUACUGAGUUGUUUCCCACCAGCCGUCAGUACAGACCUUCCACGGUGUGAGCCCACUGCAUGCCAUUUAGUAAAACAGCAAGAAAAUGAGAGAUAAAAAUAAUGAGGUAGCCUUGUAUGGGAUUAUUAAGGACUGAACUCUCAAUAGACUUAGUGAAAUAUACAAGUUACUGAAGUUUGUAGAAACCAACUGGUUCCUUUUAUGUCAGGCAAUUCCCAAUCCAGGGCCUGUUUGCCACAAAUGAGCCUCAGAGACCUCAAUAUGCAUGGGGUGCUUCCGGACCUCAUUACCCAAGAGCAGUCAGCUUCUUAAUUUCCUCUGCCUUCUUCAAGAUAACUAGUUCAGAAGGUUUAUGUUUUCAAUUUCACAUAUCCUUGCAUUUUCCUGUUCAAGUUUUGAUCCAUAUGGAUAUCUUAAAUAUGCCUAUCAUAGUAAGUUUAUUUUAGAAGGUUAAAUUGUGAACUCACAAACGCAUAGCAUCAUAGCACCAUCUCAAUCAAAAGUAUUAUCUUCUGUGAACUACAACAGUUUUCACUUCUUUCCGAAGUACAGAGUGGAGUUUGCCUGAGGUUAUAUGACCUGUGAUAUCAUGACAAAUUGAAGGCUGAAGCAGAUGAGAAUCCAGCUGUUUUCUAUUAAGUUAAAUGCUAAAGAGAUUUACAAAGAUGUAAAACAAUGCCCCUCUUCUCAAUAACCUUUGGUUUUGAAAAUUGUUAAUUUUUCAUUAAAAUGUUGCUUCCAUUAACUUGUAAUAGGCUUACUACUAUUAUUUAAUAAAAUGCACAUUUUAAAUG